RNAcentral lists this long non-coding RNA (617 nucleotides) under Cavia porcellus (domestic guinea pig). RNAcentral describes it as "lncRNA (ENSCPOG00000032377.1)". Lineage: Eukaryota; Metazoa; Chordata; Mammalia; Rodentia; Caviidae. The record is from RNAcentral.
UGCUGCUCCAAUAAAGGCUCCUGGCCAAGACAGCUCCCAGAUAGGGCGGCUGCCUCUGUCUCCUCUUAACAGAGGCCUGGGCCCUUUGGCUGGUGUGUGGGGUGUCCGUGCAUGUGACUGUGGCGGGCGGGGCUCUGACAGCCCUCUUCCCACAGCCGGGAUCCAGGCCCCAGGAGCUCUGGGGAAAUCCAGGCUGCUGCCAAAGGUCACUGGACUUAAUGCCUUGCCCAGCUUGCUGCUGGCAGAAAGCUGCCCACUCAGGCCAGCCUCUCCCUGGUCCCUGCUCUUGUAGUCUCCGAAGGGCUCCAGGUGGCCCCACAUGGCUGAGAGCCAGGAAGCCUCCAUGGGAAAGACUGUCUGUCCCUCCUUUUCUCUGCCUUAGGGUCCUUGCUCUGGAUCCCACAGAAGUUCUCUCAACUCCUGGCAUCCACAAGAACAAUCUCUACAGGUGGCUGCCCUGCCAAGCACACAGGACCUGGUGCUUCAGUCAUAAAAAGGAUUUGAUUUUCAAAAUCAGACCUGAGCGUGGAUGGCGUAGAGACAGUCACCUAGAAGAAGGUGCAGAGGAGAGGCUGCCUCGGACUGCCCCACACUCUCUGAUGCCCACUGCCCUCUGA